GAUGAACGCUAGCGGCAGGCUUAAUACAUGCAAGUCGAGGGGCAGCACGGUUAGCAAUAACUGGUGGCGACCGGCGCACGGGUGCGUAACACGUAUACAAUCUACCUUAAACAGGGGGAUAGCCUUUCGAAAGAGAGAUUAAUACCCGUAAUAAAUUGAACGGCAUCGUUUGAUUUUGAAAGCUCCGGCGGUUUGAGAUGAGUAUGCGUCUGAUUAGCUAGUUGGUGAGGUAACGGCUCACCAAGGCGACGAUCAGUAGGGGAUCUGAGAGGACUAACCCCCACACUGGUACUGAGACACGGACCAGACUCCUACGGGAGACAGCAGUAAGGAAUAUUGGUCAAUGGAGGCAACUCUGAACCAGCCAUGCCGCGUGCAGGAUGACGGCCCUAUGGGUUGUAAACUGCUUUUAUACAAGAGAAAACCCUGGUACGUGUACCAGGUUGAUAGUAUUGUAAGAAUAAGCAUCGGCUAACUUCGUAGCCAGCAGCCGC
RNAcentral lists this ribosomal RNA (494 nucleotides) under uncultured bacterium. RNAcentral describes it as "bacterial SSU rRNA". It matches the Rfam family "Bacterial small subunit ribosomal RNA", at positions 28 to 518 of the family's 1533-position model. The record is from RNAcentral.